UACUAAGCUAUGAUAUUAAACUUAGGUGGAGGAAAAUAAAUUAUUGCUAUAAGAGAGUAAGAGUUAGUAUUUGGGACUUUGGAGAAAACCAAUUUUGUUUGAGUGAUUAGAAUGUAGGGUGUGCUAUCACUACUUAUCACUCUGUUUGUAAUAAUAAAAACUUAUAUUGUAGUAUCUACCCGUCUAGUGUUCAGUUCAAUAAGAUAGUUACUACAUAGGUUACUAGUAUAUUUAAUAAUUUUAUUAUGUAGAGAGAAAUUAUCGAUCAUCUGGAUCGACAUUAAUACUACAGAGUGGCUGGCGAGACGUAAAGAUCAAUGAUAAGCAGUAUAUAACGAGUUACACAGGUUCAAUCACUUAAGAUGAUAUAAUACACUACUCUUGC
RNAcentral lists this long non-coding RNA (385 nucleotides) under Oryza brachyantha (malo sina). Its description in RNAcentral is "long non-coding RNA (OBRA_LNC001943)". The record is from RNAcentral. Lineage: Eukaryota; Viridiplantae; Streptophyta; Magnoliopsida; Poales; Poaceae.